AUGUAUUUGCUGUUAUAUUGUCAACUGUAUGCUAUUAUAUUUUAAAUUUCAGAACUGAUAUCAGAUUGUACUACACAAGGUCCAAGAAGACUUUACCAUGUAUGCCAACAGCAAAUCGAUUCCGGUAAUGUUCUCUCUACAUAUCGAUGGGCAAAUAAAUUAAGCCAUCAGUAUGAAGUGGGCAAAUUACACUGGAUUGCUUUUGAUCGUUUCAUAUUGAGAAAUAGACAACAGUGAACGGAAUGAAACAAGCUUCAGCAAGGGCAAUUUCAUAACUGCACUACCAUGACCACGAAUAUUUGUGCUUAGGUACAGCUGGCUUGGUUUGGAAACGUCAACGGGCACGAAAUUCUGUGCAAGACUGUUAUCGAGGCACGUUAUAGGGAGGUCGACGCCGAGGCCGUCAGAAGAAAAGCUGGAUGAAUAAGAUACACAUGAUGACGACCGAAGAGCGAUAUAUUUGUGCCAUAUGCGCCAGAGGGUACAAGCACAGGCGCAAUAUGGUUUACCAUGAAAGAACACACGCUGGGAUGUUACCCUUUAACUGUUGCGGCGUUGGGUUUUCAUCAAGACGACAAUUACAAAGACACAGGUGCAAUGUACACGGUGACGGAAAAAAACUAUCUUUGCCUUUAUUGUGGAAAAGAAUUCGCAACGAAAGAAGAUUUAGAUGCCCACUCGGCCCGGGAACAGCGCACUCGAG
Dreissena polymorpha is the source of this 703-nucleotide long non-coding RNA. RefSeq lists it as uncharacterized. The record is from RefSeq and is a predicted model, not a curated record. NCBI's taxonomy places the organism in Eukaryota, Metazoa, Mollusca, Bivalvia, Myida, Dreissenidae. The transcript has 3 exons.